This 217-nucleotide ribosomal RNA is filed under the name uncultured bacterium. Its description in RNAcentral is "partial 16S ribosomal RNA". It matches the Rfam family "Bacterial small subunit ribosomal RNA", at positions 1284 to 1500 of the family's 1533-position model. The record is from RNAcentral.
GUUCUCAGUUCGGAUUGUAGGCUGCAACUCGCCUACAUGAAGUCGGAAUCGCUAGUAAUCGCGGAUCAGCAUGCCGCGGUGAAUACGUUCCCGGGCCUUGUACACACCGCCCGUCACACCAUGAGAGUUUGUAACACCCAAAGCCGGUGGGGUAACCUUUUGGAGCCAGCCGUCUAAGGUGGGACAGAUGAUUGGGGUGAAGUCGUAACAAGGUAAC